CCUACGGGAGGCAGCAGUGAGGAAUAUUGGACAAUGGGCGCAAGCCUGAUCCAGCCAUGCCGCGUGCAGGAAGAAGCAUCUAUGGUGUGUAAACUGCUUUUGUACAGGAAGAAACACUCCCUCGUGAGGGAGCUUGACGGUACUGUAAGAAUAAGGACCGGCUAACUCCGUGCCAGCAGCCGCGGUAAUACGGAGGGUCCAAGCGUUAUCCGGAAUCAUUGGGUUUAAAGGGUCCGUAGGCGGUUUAAUAAGUCAGUGGUGAAAUCUGGUCGCUCAACGAUCAAACGGCCAUUGAUACUGUUAGACUUGAAUUAUAAGGAAGUAACUAGAAUAUGUAGUGUAGCGGUGAAAUGCUUAGAUAUUACAUGGAAUACCAAUUGCGAAGGCAGGUUACUACUUAUGGAUUGACGCUGAUGGACGAAAGCGUGGGGAGCGAACAGGAUUAGAUACCCUGGUAGUCCACGCCGUAAACGAUGGAUACUAGCUGUUCGGAGCAAUCUGAGUGGCUAAGCGAAAGUGAUAAGUAUCCACCUGGGGAGUAACGUUCGCAGAAUGAAACUUCAAAUUGAGUUGNGNGNGAGAGNGCGAGACGACGACGAGGAGGAGG
Molecule: ribosomal RNA, 607 nt
Filed under: uncultured bacterium
Lineage: Bacteria
Description: bacterial SSU rRNA
Rfam family: Bacterial small subunit ribosomal RNA
Source: RNAcentral